UCAAAGAAGCCACAACAAGGAAGAAAUUCCUCCUCUCCCGGGCUCAUGCUAAGAGGACUGGUAUCAGAUUAAUCAACCCAGCCAGCUGGCCUCCUGAAAAGAAAGAGCACACUGCUGAGUGUAAUAGCUUGCACAGGGCCAGAGGGCUCCCUGGCCUUCCUGAACCCAGGCGGCUGUGAACCGUGCUCUCUGUGUGGGCAUCUGCAGUGAAACCAUUUGAGUCUCUGACAUCAUGCGUCAGCAUCACUCUGACAGCCCAAUCACACACAAUUCCAAGAAUUCCAAUGAGUUGUACUUGGAUCACAGAGAGGAAUCUACUUGCCAUGCUGCCCUCCUGGAGCCAGUGCCCAGCUACAGGGACCCAGGACCACCCAUAGAGAUUCCUCUGUCUCUGCAAGUGGACUUCUACAGAAGGUUUGUAUGGGCAGCACCUUAGCUUGAGGUGAGUUGGCUUUUACUGCUGUUCCUGGCUCCCUGGGCAUUUCCUGAUAACGAAUUUUUCCCAAGUCGAUCUUCAUUCCCUCAAGAGUAUGGACAACUUUACCCAAUAGUGAUGGGUCAGAUCCCAGAUCCCUAAAGAACCUGUGAAUUGUGCAAACGCCUGGGCCCAGGAUAUGCCAUGCCAUCUGCUGAGACCUAUUUCCCAGUUGCUGCCACUUCAGUGCCUCUUCUGACUCACUGCUUCCUUCACACCUGCUGACCUGGCAUCUGGAGUCCCCUGAGCCACCCACCUCCUGCCGAGGAAGGGACCUUUCCUUGCUGCCAUGACACUCCUGGAGGAAUACAGGAGCCUUCCUGCCAGGCACUGGGAAAUUCCCUGGGAAACCUCAACCAGUUCCUCCCUCAGCCUCCCACUUUCUUCACUUCUGCCCUCUGCAUGAUGGUGGAAAGACCUGUUGCCAAUACUGGGGGGGCUUUUACCUCCAGGUGGGCCUAGACUGGGUCCUUGCUGCAAAACUGGGCCCACUUUCUCUUAUCUGGAAGCCUACCACGGACUAGGGGAUGAAACAUCUUCUGUCUCUCUGCAUUCCCACUCCACCUCUACCCACCUGUCUUUGGAGAGCAUGAGACCAGGCCCUCAAACCACCUGGUUAUACCCUUUCCCACACAGCCAAUGGAGCAAAUGUAUUAAUGGUUGUAAGUAGGUUAGUAGAAAAAUAGUUGGAUUUUAUCAUUGGGGUAUGGUUGGGAUGAAUUGAGUCAGAGGCAUAUGGAGAAAUAGUGGGAACAGGCUGUGUUGGACACAGUAUCUCCCUAUGGUUCCCUCCUGGCGACCAUUGCAUACAUUUGGUUUAGCACAAUGCUUUCACAGUAACCUGGAUCCUUCUGGAGCUCUUUGGUGACUCCAAAGCUGGCCUUGCAUGGGUCAGGUUGGAUCUUAAGGAAUUCUGUAAGACCACACGCCUGUCAGGUCAGGCAGUCUGAAUCUGGCCCCCAAAGAGCUCAGUCAAUGGCUGCCAUGCUGACUUGACCCUGGCGCAGAAAGGGACUCUCCUUGCGAAGGACCCCUCAGAGCUGGCGGAAGCCCAGGCAACCACCCUAUCCUUUCCCCACACCCUCAAUGACCAGCACAGCCCUCGUCCUGGACACCGGCUGCAGAAGCUUGCAGAACUAUCAGCUCCUACCCUUUGUGUGUUCACCUCCAAAUGCUCUUCUCUUUCCAUUGGAUGGAAACAGAGCCCUUGAAGAGGAAGUGACCAUACUUCCCAUCCCUCCCAAGGGUUAAGGUUUAAUAUAAGAAGGCCUUUUUGUCAGCUCCCAGCUGCCGAGGUGACCUGGGCUCUCCUCAGCAGUUGUCUUAAUAAACAGAUGACAGCGUGAUUCAGCCUCACCUUGUCUGCCUGGGCACGCUCGGGGAGGCUCAGCCGCCACCUCUGUCUGGCAGGUGUUUCCCUGCUCUUCUUCCAGCUCUUCUGUGGAGCCACGUGUGCAGGUUAUCUUGGUAAAGUGCUGGUAAAGUGUCCUCUUCUGGAGACGGCAGUGUGAGCCCUGGGUUGGGGUCAGCUACCAUUUCCUCUCCUACUACCUGUGCUCCUCAGGGAAAUGGCUCGGUAGCUUUGACUUCAGUCUCCUCCUCUGUAAAACAACAGUGGAUGAUCUGUUUGCAAGCCUCCUAGAAUCACCUGCAGCUUGGUGGUUGUGGGGAUCAGUCUGUUUGGGUUGGUCCCCAGUGAGUCCUGAUUUAGGUAAUACGUUACAUUUAAAAAAUAUUUCCACACUCCUGUCAGGAUGGCUAUUAGCAAAAAGAGUGAAGGUAACAAGUGCUGGAGAAGGCAUGGAGAAAAGGGAACCCUUGGGCACUCUUGGUGGGAAUGUAAAGUAGUACAGCCAUGUGGAAACCACCGUGGAGUUCCUAAAAAUAAUAAGAUUGGAAUUAGCAUAUGAUCCAGCCAUCCAGCUAUGGGGUCUAUAUCCAAAAAAUGAAAUCAGCGUGUUGAAGAGACAUCUGCACUGCCACGUUCACUGCAGCAUCUUCACUACAGACAAGAUUCGGUCAACCCAAGUGUCCACUGAUGGAUGACUGGGUAGUGAGAGUGUGGUAUAUGUAUGUAAUGGAAUACUAUUCAGGAAAAAAAAAGGAAAUCUGUCAUUUGUAAAACAGGAUGAUCCUGGAGGAUAUGAUGCUAACUGACAUGAGCCAGACACUGGAAGAAAAAUAAUGCAUGAUCUCACUCAUAUGUGGAAUCUAAAAAUGUUGGUCUCAUCAAAGUAGAGGGUAGAAUGGUGGUUUCUCAUAACUGGAAAGAGAAAGGCUGGGGAGAUGUUUGUCAAAGGGUACAAACUUUCAGAAGACAGGAGUAGUAAAUUCAAGAGAUUUACUGCACAGAAUGAUCACUAUAGUUAAUUAUAAAUGAUAUUUUGAAAAAUGCUAAGAGAGCAGAUGUAAUGUGUUUUCCCUACAAGAAUGAUAAGUAUGUGAAGGGUUGCGUCUGUUAAUUGACUGUAUUUAUUCAUUCCACAAUGAUUUAUACUUCAAAAUAUCAUGUUGU
Sciurus carolinensis (gray squirrel) is the source of this 2990-nucleotide long non-coding RNA. RefSeq lists it as uncharacterized. The record is from RefSeq and is a predicted model, not a curated record. The transcript has 3 exons. Lineage: Eukaryota; Metazoa; Chordata; Mammalia; Rodentia; Sciuridae.